RNAcentral lists this long non-coding RNA (2783 nucleotides) under Homo sapiens (human). Its description in RNAcentral is "HSALNT0355624". The record is from RNAcentral. Lineage: Eukaryota; Metazoa; Chordata; Mammalia; Primates; Hominidae.
AAGACUGGUAAUGUACACUUUAUAGGAGGGGCAGAAAGAAAGAGUGGAGACCAUGCCACGGAGGAUAAACUUUUAUUUCAAAUAAAAGCUGCACUGUUACAAGCUGAAGAAGGAUGACUUUUCAUGCAGAAGGGUACACGGAGCAACACAACCAGAAUGGAUGAGCUACCAUGGAACGCAGUGAUAGAAGGAUGCUCUCAAGAGCUGCCCAGGAAGAAAUGAAGAGCGGGUUCCCUUCAAAAGCCUCAGAAGUAGACCAGCCUUGACCACUUUCGUUCUUAAAGGCAAUGGAGUGUCAUAUCAAUUUCAAAGGAAGGUACUUUUUAAGAUCAAAUCCCAUAUCAAACCAAAUUAUUGCUCAAUAAUAAACACAGUUUCAGACAAAGAAAAAGUGUCUUUCUAACCAUCUUUCAAGAAAAAAUAAAUUCAGGGUGGUCCUUGGCAGAACUGAAACUCAAUCUAAUCAGGAUGAAGAUGUGAGGUUUGGGGCAGGGGAGGGGAACAUUCUUCCGGUGAGUGUGCCAACAAUACUCAAACGCCAGUUACAAGUGCAGGUGAAAACCACUUCUAUAAAAUAAAAACAUGGCACAAAAGUGAGAGAUUAAACGUGGGCAAUUGGAUCCAAUAAAAGAGUGUAAUGAACACAAAUAUUUUUAACUUUGACAAGAAAUUUUCUUUCAUUUUAGUGUCACGAGAAUUUGUUACGUAUGUGACAAAUAACAUUCAGAUAACUAUAAUACUGUUAAUAUUGCUUAUUCAAUUUUCGUGUUUAGAAUCAUCAUACACAUACAUUGAAUGGUUGGAACUUGCCUGUAUGCCGCCAUUUUGGGUAACAAAAGCAAUGAUGUGAUUAAGUCUAACACGAAGCAUAGAGAGGGAAAUUAAAAAGUUGAUUAUGAAAGAGCAUUUAUGAUUAAAGAGGUAACAAAGAUAAAACUAAAAAUAAGAAAAUAACAAAAACAUUUGGGAAAGAGAAAGUAAGACAGAGAAAAAAUGAUACAUUGAUCUUCUAGUCACAGCUGACUAAACAAUCACGGUUGUGUAACAAUGAUGAAAACAAUCACCAUUUAAGGGAUUGCUCCCGGGGGUGAGGAAAUCAGCCUGAGGACUGAAAGGGAAAGACACAGCCCACGGCUUUCAAUUUUCAUUUAGAAUCCAAUUUUAUUUAAAGAAGUAAUUAUGGCCAGGUGCAGCGGCUCAUAUCUGUAAUCCCAGGGCUUUGGGAGGCUGAGGUGGGCGCAUCAAGAGGUCAGGAGAUCGAGACCAUCCUGGCUAACAUGGAGAAACCCCGUCUCUACUAAAAAUACAAAAAAAUUAGCCGGGCAUGGUGGCGGGUGCCUGUAGUCCCAGCUACUCAGGAAGCUGAGGCAGGAGAAUGGCAUGAACCCGGGAGGUGGAGCUUUCAGUGAACCGAGAUCGCGCCACUGCACUCCAGCGUGGGCGACAGAGCGAGACUCCAUCUCAAAAAAAAAAAAAAAAAAAAAAAAAAGCAAUUACGAAAAUAAGAAAACAACCCCCUGCCCACAGAGCCAUAACCAUGUGAUUCUUCACAUUCAAACUUCCUCUAGUAUCUUCUAUAUCUAGAAAGUUUCCAAGACUUAAAAGGAGGGUUGAUUUAAAAAAAUAGUAUCUGGGAACUUCUCUGAAAAUCGUAAUAAAAAUGCACAGCCCUCCACUCUUCCUAACAAUCAACAGCGGUCAUAUCAGGAAAAGUGAUUUGAGGGCAGUGAACCCACUUCCCAGAGAAACAAACCAUGACUCGUAAAAGGAAUUUUUAAAAAGUGUGCUUUAAAGUCUUUGGAAACAUCCUACAGGUAUAUAGCAACUGAAAAGUGUCUCCUCAAGAAAGUCUACCAGGUCUCUGUAGAGCUAAGAAGGGCGUGUGGCCCUCCCAGCCCUGCUCAGCAGGACACAGCUCCACUCUGGGCGGCCGCAGGGUCAGGAGGAGGCUCCCUCUCCUCAUGGUCUUUCGGGUCCUGGUGAUUUUCUGGGAGGAGCAGGGCACCAGCUUCCUUACUCCCCCUGGCUGGAUGUCCCUGAGCUAAGUCCCAGGCGACUUCCAUCGCAGGAUGCAGCUCUUUCCCUCAGCCAGCCCCGCUUUGUAGGGCAGAAGCUCCUCCCAGGCUGAGGGCUGAGCUUCCUAGGCAGGUGGCCCUGACCCAGCUUGCUGGUGGGUUUCACACUGAUAGCAGCAAACCCAGAAGACCAGAGAUGGCUUUGACACCAGGCACCCAGCUUUUGAGGCAGGGCACCCCUGAGAGACAGUCCCCCUUGUCUUCACCCCAUCCCAGAUCCAAGUCAGUGGUUCAGAUUUUGCCCAGGGAGAGGCAGGCAGUAAGAACCGAGGCUCCAGAACUCUCUGGGAGAGCUGACUGUAUUUAGAACAGACAGUUGGAACAUUCAGGCCGGGCAGCAUUCCCCAUCACAAUGGAGAUGGUGGUGGCGAGCAAUUAGGAGGGCACAGAGAACUCUGUGACAGCAGCAGUGUCACCUUCAGGCCAGCUAAUUCGCAAGGAGAACACGAAUGAAGCAAAGAAGGAAUUUUAGAAAUAAAACGUACAUAAUGAAAGAAAACUUUCUUGAACUGGAAAACAGCCUGACUCUAUAAAGCAAAAAACCCUAAAAAACAGACCUCCUUCUGAAUGGUGGAGACUGCAUUCAUAGGAAAGUUGGCCUCUCCCCAAGGCAAAAUAAACGAAGAAGAAGAAUGUGUGGACACACACACAAACACUCCAUUAAAUUAUGAAGAUUAUGUUUUAUAAAGAAGUUUUCAACCAAAAAAA